Molecule: transfer RNA, 73 nt
Filed under: Pteropus alecto (black flying fox)
Lineage: Eukaryota; Metazoa; Chordata; Mammalia; Chiroptera; Pteropodidae
Rfam family: tRNA
About the family: Transfer RNA (tRNA) molecules are approximately 80 nucleotides in length.
Source: Rfam by way of RNAcentral
GGUUCCAUAGCGUAGCGGUUAGGACGUCUGCUUUAUACGCAGAAGGUCCCGGGGUCACAGCCCAGUGGAGCCA